AGCACUCCUACGGGAGGCAGCAGUGGGAAUAUUGCACAAUGGGCGCAAGCCUGAUGCAGCCAUGCCGCGUGUAUGAAGAAGGCCUUCGGGUUGUAAAGUACUUUCAGCAGUGAGGAAGGUGGGUAUGUUAAUAGCAUACUCAUUUGACGUUAGCUGCAGAAGAAGCACCGGCUAACUCCGUGCCAGCAGCCGCGGUAAUACGGAGGGUGCGAGCGUUAAUCGGAAUUACUGGGCGUAAAGCGCAUGCAGGUGGUUUGUUAAGUCAGAUGUGAAAGCCCGGGGCUCAACCUCGGAAUUGCAUUUGAAACUGGCAAACUAGAGUACUGUAGAGGGGGUAGAAUUUCAGGUGUAGCGGUGAAAUGCGUAGAGAUCUGAAGGAAUACCGGUGGCGAAGGCGGCCCCCUGGACAGAUACUGACACUCAGAUGCGAAAGCGUGGGGAGCAAACAGGAUUAGAUACCCUGGUAG
Molecule: ribosomal RNA, 467 nt
Filed under: uncultured bacterium
Lineage: Bacteria
Description: bacterial SSU rRNA
Rfam family: Bacterial small subunit ribosomal RNA
Source: RNAcentral